GGGGACGUUACGGAUUCGACAGGGGUAGGUCGAGCUCAGGUUGCGCGUCGAGGUUACGACUCGUAAAACGUUAACGCCAAUAAUAACUGGCAAAGAAAACAAUUACUCUUUAGCAGCUGCCUAAGCACUGACUAAAGGAUCCUUCCUGCCAUCGCCCAUGUGGCAGAUUGAAGGGUCUCACUUAUUAGUGGGCUACGCUGUGAUCCUCCGUCUGGGGAUUUGCAGAAGAGACUAAUCAGACUAGCUGCUCGGACGCCUGUUGGUAGGCAGAACAGUUAGCGAAAUCGCGAAUAUACCAACUACACGUGUAGAAGCCUGAGUGCCGAUAUCCUUGGACGUGGGUUCGAUUCCCACCGUCUCCACCA
This 365-nucleotide transfer-messenger RNA is filed under the name Gracilibacillus oryzae. Its description in RNAcentral is "Standard tmRNA". It matches the Rfam family "transfer-messenger RNA". From Rfam's summary of the family: Bacterial tmRNA, also known as 10Sa RNA or SsrA, is named for its dual tRNA and mRNA-like properties. The record is from RNAcentral. Lineage: Bacteria; Bacillati; Bacillota; Bacilli; Caryophanales; Bacillaceae.